UACAGAGGUCUCAAGCGUUGUUCGGAUUCAUUGGGCGUAAAGGGUGCGUAGGCGGGUUGGUAAGUCAGUGGUGAAAUCUUCAAGCUUAACUUGGAAACUGCCGUUGAUACUAUCAAUCUUGAAUGUUGUGGAGGUAAGCGGAAUAUGUCAUGUAGCGGUGAAAUGCUUAGAUAUGACAUAGAACACCGAUAGCGAAGGCAGCUUGCUACACAAUAAUUGACGCUGAGGCACGAAAGCGUGGGGAUCAAACAGG
Molecule: ribosomal RNA, 253 nt
Filed under: uncultured bacterium
Lineage: Bacteria
Description: partial 16S ribosomal RNA
Rfam family: Bacterial small subunit ribosomal RNA
Source: RNAcentral